AAUUGGAGUUUCUGCAAGAGACAUUUUCUUUGCAGCUACUGCCUUCAGCCGGUAUCGCUCUGCUCUAGAUCCAAUAACCUGUCCGAGUACAGAAGCUGCAAUGGUAAAUGCCAUGGCUGACUUUGGCAUCAACACAGAUUUCCUAAGCAUUGCUAUGAAUGGGACUGCUGCAUGGACAGCUGCAAACCAUGAUGCUGAAAAUUUUUGGGUGUGUUCCCUCCAUAUUCCUAAAGGGACAUUCACAGCCAUGCCCAACAUCCCAAUCACAAGUACUUUGGCAGGCAGGGGUUGAGGCCGAAGGUUCUUAGCAAAUGCAGUCCGUGCUAUAGCUGCUCGGGCUGCAACCACAACAGGUGGGCACCUGAAUUUCACGCCUGGUGGGGGCUGGAAAACUUUUGCAACAAGCGGCAAGACA
RNAcentral lists this unclassified non-coding RNA (415 nucleotides) under Hevea brasiliensis (rubber tree). Lineage: Eukaryota; Viridiplantae; Streptophyta; Magnoliopsida; Malpighiales; Euphorbiaceae. The record is from RNAcentral.